Lolium rigidum is the source of this 1795-nucleotide long non-coding RNA. RefSeq lists it as uncharacterized. The record is from RefSeq and is a predicted model, not a curated record. The transcript has 3 exons. Lineage: Eukaryota; Viridiplantae; Streptophyta; Magnoliopsida; Poales; Poaceae.
CAGUAUCCGCACCAUUGGCGCCCUCUCCGGCCGCUGCAACACCGGCGAACUCCCAGGCAUCGACAACGCCCUACCCUACGUGGUGCAGCGCCAUCUCCGGUAAGAGGGCUGCCGCCCUACCCUCCCAUGUUCAUCCGCGCCGCCACUUUUUCGGGGAGGGUCGCCCUCUCGAUUCGCCACGCCUCCUUCCCCCACACAACUUCUGUAUCUCUCAUCUCCGUACUUCACCAGUCCGAGUGCGUUGAGAUGGCCGUUGACACUGCUAGAUCAAGGACAUCAACGAUCUAUUUCUUCUAUCCGGCGAGCAUCUAAUUUCUUUUUCUUUUGCAUAGCCUGCGGAGAAGCUUUGUUCGCUGCCCUCUAUGCGAGCCCAUGGCGUACUCUUCUGGAGGUGGGGGAUUCCUCUGUGUUGCCCACUGCCAUGUCACCCAUUCAUUCAGUGUUGCGACGUUGUUUUACAUGGAUGGACAAACCAAGGGCAUGGUGAUGCUCACGAAUCUGAGGGGUACAGGUGAGUCUGAACCGGCACACGAGGUUGUCCCAACCAGUGUGAGAUGCAACCUUAGUUUCAGAAUAGCAUGAAGCAUGAUACGUGAUUACUUGCUGUUUUCCUGGUACAUAGCAUUUGGAAAAAAAGGCUCAUGUUUCAGAUAAAUAAUAAUGAUUUCUAUUCAUUCAACAAUUUUGGUGUAGAAUCUGUUCUUGUCAUAUUAAGCAUAUAAAUCAUAGGAGUUGCUUUAGAUUAUUAGAAUCAUCUUUAGCUGACCAAGUGUGCAGAUAAUAACACUUCUUUGCAUUGGAAUCUCUCAUCUAAAUUACUACCAGUUAGCUUAUGAAAUUCAUUGUUAACUAAAAUUGUAAAGUUGCUGGUUGCCUGAAUGUACUGUAGUAGUAGAUAGUAACGUUAUCUUACCACAAUAGUUGCUAGCAAUGCAAACCAUGUUAAGUAGAGACUCUACAUAGAUGAGUGUUAGUUACGCUAGCACAUAGUGCACACACAUGCAAGUGAUUGUUAGAUAUUUACACACCACCGGUUUCCAGUUUGCCGGUUCCUUCUUCAUCACUCUUCUAUAAAUCUUCAAGUGAAGCCAAGGCUCUCCCUUCAACAGGUAUGAAACAAAAAGAAUGACACUCGUCUAUUUCGUUUAAUUUAUUUAUUGACAAUUCAAUCACGUUUCAUAGAAUAUCAUGAAUUAAUUUCCCCUUGCACAUCAUUUCUUUUUGUUAUGACUAGCAUGGUGUUUUUUUACUGCUGAGCGUGUGGUGCAGGGGAAUUUACUAUGCUGAUUCAGUCUUGUACUUCUUGGUCGAUAUCAAACUGCACUCUUUGGGAGAUGGAGAUCCGGAUAUGGUGGCGGUGGUGGUGAUGACAGGGAAGCUAGGGUGAGCCUGAUCCAGCCGUUUGCAGCAACGAGAGCAGUUCAAGCAAGACAAGGCCAUGGCCUCCAAUGAGUUGCAGAAAAAUAGUUUUUUUACUGCUGAGCAUGUGGUCGGCGAGGUGGGGAUUGGCCGGUGAGCCAUCAAGCCCUCCAGGGGGACGACGCCAACGCACUAGCACCGAUGGUCUCCCUUCCGAUGCCAUCAAGUUUCCCUGCCGGCGCCACUGAUUCUCACUGCCUCCGCCGCCACCCGAAGCUGGAUCUGGACCUUCUCCUCAACUCAGCCUGCAGGGUCUCACACGCUCUGGCCCCUGAUGCAUAUUGAUGCAACGCAAAAAAUAUAAGUGUCAGACAGAGAGCUAGGCAACAGAUGAAUGAUUAGACGUGAUUUUCAAAUAAUGGUGUAUUAAUAAUAU